This 653-nucleotide ribosomal RNA is filed under the name Streptococcus sp. oral taxon 064. Its description in RNAcentral is "bacterial SSU rRNA". It matches the Rfam family "Bacterial small subunit ribosomal RNA", at positions 371 to 1014 of the family's 1533-position model. Lineage: Bacteria; Bacillati; Bacillota; Bacilli; Lactobacillales; Streptococcaceae. The record is from RNAcentral.
AUGGACGGAAGUCUGACCGAGCAACGCCGCGUGAGUGAAGAAGGUUUUCGGAUCGUAAAGCUCUGUUGUAAGAGAAGAACGAGUGUGAGAGUGGUAAGUUCACACUGUGACGGUAUCUUACCAGAAAGGGACGGCUAACUACGUGCCAGCAGCCGCGGUAAUACGUAGGUCCCGAGCGUUGUCCGGAUUUAUUGGGCGUAAAGCGAGCGCAGGCGGUUAGAUAAGUCUGAAGUUAAAGGCUGUGGCUUAACCAUAGUACGCUUUGGAAACUGUUUAACUUGAGUGCAAGAGGGGAGAGUGGAAUUCCAUGUGUAGCGGUGAAAUGCGUAGAUAUAUGGAGGAACACCGGUGGCGAAAGCGGCUCUCUGGCUUGUAACUGACGCUGAGGCUCGAAAGCGUGGGGAGCAAACAGGAUUAGAUACCCUGGUAGUCCACGCCGUAAACGAUGAGUGCUAGGUGUUAGACCCUUUCCGGGGUUUAGUGCCGCAGCUAACGCAUUAAGCACUCCGCCUGGGGAGUACGACCGCAAGGUUGAAACUCAAAGGAAUUGACGGGGGCCCGCACAAGCGGUGGAGCAUGUGGUUUAAUGCGAAGCAACGCGAAGAACCUUACCAGGUCUUGACAUCCCUCUGACCGCUCUAGAGAUAGAGUUU